This 510-nucleotide long non-coding RNA is filed under the name Sorghum bicolor (sorghum). RNAcentral's name for it is "long non-coding RNA (SBIC_LNC008519)". Lineage: Eukaryota; Viridiplantae; Streptophyta; Magnoliopsida; Poales; Poaceae. The record is from RNAcentral.
CUCAUAUUGCUACCUCUCCUCUUCUUUGAUCUUUGCUUUGGGAGAACAUGGGCUAUCUUUUUCUUUUCUUUUCUCAGGUGGGUAGUAGAUACCCCUAAUUCUACUGUCAGACACUUGUCAAUUUUUUUCCGCUCAAGUGGGCAUCUUUGUACCCCUAAUUCUACUCCGGAAACUUGUCCAUUUUUACCUCUCGUCUCACUCUUUUUCUUUCUUUUUCGAGGUUCCGGGCACUUGCCCCUUUUUAUUUCCUCACAUAUUUUUGCAUAACCCAUGCCUCUUCUGCAUUGAAUUUUUUUAGAGAGAGAAUAACAAUAUUUGGGACAGUGAGUGAUAAUAUUAUUUUUAGCAAUUUUAAUAUAUGGUGGUGAAUGGUGUAGUGGAUGUGUGCAAGUGAAUAUCUUAAUUUAACCACAUGAAAAGCUCCUAAGGGUCUACACAGCUCGAUCAAACUCAAUGUGAAUAUAAGAUGUUAGAGCAAGUAUGGCUGUGGUACAUAGUUUGUAAUGCUAG